CGAUGAUCGUUUAUUUUUUUUAUUUUUUUCUCUAAAGAAUCGAAUCUGUCGCAGAAGAUCCACGAUAAAAGAUUGAUCAAGUUAUGUGUUUUGUGAAAAUCGUUAAUUCGAAUUUAGCCUUGUUUCGUUCCAGAAAAGAUAGGAGAUAAUCGCGAGAGAAAGGGAGUUCGUGGAAUACGUCAUUUCGCUUUGCCUUCGCUGCAAGGAAGACCUCUCUGUGUACGAAGGAUUAACAAUCUUUCCUCUCUAAAGUGACAGAGAGAUAGAGAAAAGCUCUGGAACCCAGAAAGCCGUCCGCACGGUUCUGAGGACGAGGCACCAGGACGAGGCGCCAUUGGGAGAGUCAUUCGAAGAGCCAUACGAAACGCUCGUUGAAAGGACCGAAGAGGAAAAAGGGCGAGGCGCGCUCCGCUUCGUUUCCAUGACGACCAAUCAUUACCGAAGAUCGUACCGCCACCUAUCCGUACCCUCUCUUGCCGCAAACCACCGAAACCACCCUCUCUUCUACCCCUCCCUGACCGACCGACCAACUAUCACCCUUCUGACUACGGACUUGCUUUCACGUGUUCUUAUUUUCUUUCUACCAUAUAUUUAUGAAAAUGAAUCUAAUCGCUUUCUUUUAUAAUUAUGCAAUUUGAUUAUCCUCUCUUGUUAAUGAUAUAUACAUAUAUAUAUAUAUAUCUUUCCUCCUUGUUUUUCUUACAUUAUAAAUAAUUGUGGCAAAUUAAAUAAGAGGAAAUUAGUCAAAUGAAAUUAAUUCGAACGACAGCUUCGAUGGGAAUAACAAAUUCGUCGAUCGUUCUGCCAUUUUUGCAUAUGCGUAAUAAUGAACGAUAUUAUUUUUGUCCUUACGCAAAUCGAUGAAUGCAAAUACGUACGCCUCGCGAGAGUUUCU
Molecule: long non-coding RNA, 895 nt
Organism: Vespa mandarinia (Asian giant hornet)
Lineage: Eukaryota; Metazoa; Arthropoda; Insecta; Hymenoptera; Vespidae
Source: RefSeq, a predicted model, not a curated record